Molecule: ribosomal RNA, 468 nt
Filed under: uncultured bacterium
Lineage: Bacteria
Description: partial 16S ribosomal RNA
Rfam family: Bacterial small subunit ribosomal RNA
Source: RNAcentral
GACGAACGCUGGCGGCGUGCUUAACACAUGCAAGUCGAACGGAAAGGCCCUGCUUUUGUGGGGUGCUCGAGUGGCGAACGGGUGAGUAACACGUGAGUAACCUGCCCUUGACUUUGGGAUAACUUCAGGAAACUGGGGCUAAUACCGGAUAGGAGCUCCUGCUGCAUGGUGGGGGUUGGAAAGUUUCGGCGGUUGGGGAUGGACUCGCGGCUUAUCAGCUUGUUGGGGGGGUAGUGGCUUACCAAGGCUUUGACGGGUAGCCGGCCUGAGAGGGUGACCGGCCACAUGGGGACUGCGAUACGGACCAGACUCCUACGGGAGGCAGCGGUGGGGAAUAUUGCACAAUGGGCGGAAGCCUGAUGCAGCAACGCCGCGUGCGGGAUGACGGCCUUCGGGUUGUAAACCGCUUUCGCCUGUGACGAAGCGUGAGUGACGGUAAUGGGUAAAGAAGCACCGGCUAACUACGUG